This 497-nucleotide ribosomal RNA is filed under the name uncultured bacterium. RNAcentral describes it as "partial 16S ribosomal RNA". It matches the Rfam family "Bacterial small subunit ribosomal RNA", at positions 28 to 507 of the family's 1533-position model. The record is from RNAcentral.
GAUGAACGCUGGCGGCGUGCCUAAUACAUGCAAGUCGAGCGAACAGACGAGGAGCUUGCUCCCCUGAGGUUAGCGGGGGACGGGAGAGUAAUACGUGGAUAAUAUACCUAUAAGACUGGGAUAACUACGGGAAACCGGAGACAAUACCGGAUAAUAUAUUGAACGGCUUGGUCCACUAGUGAAUGACGGUUUUGCUGUCUAAUAUAGAUGCAUCCGGGCCGCAUUAGCUAGUUGGUAAGGUAACGGCUUACCAAGGCAACGAUGCGUAGCCGACAUGAGAGGGUGAUCGGCCACACGGGAACUGAGACACGGUCCAGACACCUACGGGAGGCAGCAGUAGGGAAUCUUCCGCAAAGGGCGAAAGCCUGACAGAGCAACGCCGCGUGAGUGAUGAAGGUCUUCGGAUCGUAAAACUCUGUUAUUAGGAAAGAACAAAUGUGUAUGUAACUAUGCACGUCUUGACGGUACCUAAUCAGAAAGCCACGGCUAACUACGUG